GUGUUGUAUGUAAGGAGUGAAGUUUAGCACUCCUUUUGAGAAGGAUGGAAAAGGUCCUAGUGGCCUUUACAAACACAUAUACUCUUAAGGCAUUGCCACCUACUUUGUGGUAUCUAGAAAUAUUUUUCU
Ornithorhynchus anatinus (platypus) is the source of this 129-nucleotide small nuclear RNA. NCBI's taxonomy places the organism in Eukaryota, Metazoa, Chordata, Mammalia, Monotremata, Ornithorhynchidae. The record is from RefSeq and is a predicted model, not a curated record.